GCUUGAAUUACCAUCUUCAAUAAUGCUCCUUCCCUGCCCUAGAUAGAAGCUUUCGAUGCAAGGACUAUAACUUAUGCCAAACCCUCUUCUUGAUAUACCCCCAAAAUCUCCUCUUUUUUUGCAUCUUACCAGCGAAGGAAGACCCAAAUAAAGGCCUAGCUUUUCCAAUUCCCCAACUUCAAUAUGUCACAUAUAGCUCUAUAAUGAACG
RNAcentral lists this unclassified non-coding RNA (210 nucleotides) under Hevea brasiliensis (rubber tree). The record is from RNAcentral. Lineage: Eukaryota; Viridiplantae; Streptophyta; Magnoliopsida; Malpighiales; Euphorbiaceae.